AUGGCAUCCCGGCUGGAGCUGCUCAUGUCGCAGGGGAUGCGACUGUGGAGCUAUCUCACCUCCUCAUCCGCCUCUGCAGCAGGAACCGGAGUUGCUCUUGCAUCCUCCGUUACUCUUGCCAGUUCCAGAAGCCAACCUCCGCACCGGAACCGUGACCCCCCAAGAAACAGGGCAAACGCGCCCGGGAGGGCCCCCAAGAAACAGUUUGCAUGCAGAGGAUUCUCUAAUUCUCUGACGCGCAGCCGCUUGAAUAAAACUCAUGCUCAAACUCGUAUAUCCGCCUGCCGCUCCUUCACCCAGCUCUCCCAACACAAGGGAAGGGCAUCUCCACGAGCGCCCGCGCCCACAACCUGCUCGUCCAGAAGAGAACGCCGGCAGGCUGGCCGGCCACCCCGCUAUCGCCCACGCCCUCGAGCAGCGUCAGCGCGGCGACCCUCCCUUACCGAGCAAGUGUUGGCAUUCCUUUUGGCCGCGGCGAGGUCGAGCGUGGAUGGCACGGUGAGGGCGCCUCUGAGGACUUUGGAUGGUGCCGGUGGCCCGUGCCUAUCGCUGGUGAAGGCGUUGGCCUCCAUCAGCAAGUCCGACGCGGCCGUGUGGGUGAUCGAGGAGGGCCAGCUACUAAAACGUCAUGUUGGCGGGGAGCUACUACGCAAUGCCAACUCCUGGAACUACCUCCUCGGUGGGCUGCUCAAGAAUGGCAGAGCCACCGAAGCGUGCGACCUCCUUGAGGCCAUGGAGAGGUCUUAA
RNAcentral lists this ribosomal RNA (747 nucleotides) under Triticum aestivum (bread wheat). Its description in RNAcentral is "partial small subunit ribosomal RNA". Lineage: Eukaryota; Viridiplantae; Streptophyta; Magnoliopsida; Poales; Poaceae. The record is from RNAcentral.